Molecule: ribosomal RNA, 433 nt
Filed under: uncultured bacterium
Lineage: Bacteria
Description: partial 16S ribosomal RNA
Rfam family: Bacterial small subunit ribosomal RNA
Source: RNAcentral
AGCGAACGCUGGCGGCAUGCUUAACACAUGCAAGUCGCACGGGCAGCCAUGUCAGUGGCGGACUGAUGAGUAACGCGUCGGAACCUGUCCUGAGGUGGGGGACAACCUAGGGUUACUGGGGCUAAUACCGCAGAUGGGCUGCGGCCCAACGCCGAGGGGCGAGUUAGGUGCGGCCUGCGUCCGUUUAGCUAGUGGGGGGGGUAUAGGCCUACCAAGCCUGGGAUCGUUAGCUGGUCUGAGAGAACGACCAGCCACACUGGGACGGAGACACGGCGCAGACUCCUACGGGAGGGAGGAGUGGGGAAUACUGGAAAAUGGGGGAAAGCAUGAAGGAGUUCGGCCGGGUGAGUGAAGAAGGUGUGCGGAAAGUACAGCCCGUUCGACGGGGGCGAUUCUGACGGUACCCGUAGAAGAAGCACCGGCUAACUUCGUG